UGAGCAAUCUGCCCUUCUCAUCGGAAUAAGCGUUGGAAAUGACGUCUAAUGCCGAAUACGACCUCCUUUCGCAUGAUCGGAGGUGGAAAGCUCCGGCGGAGAAGGAUGAGCUCGCGGCCUAUCAGCUAGUUGGUGUGGGUAAUGGCCCACCAAGGCGACGACGGGUAGCCGGCCUGAGAGGGUGACCGGCCACACUGGGACUGAGACACGGCCCAGACUCCUAGGAGG
Molecule: ribosomal RNA, 228 nt
Filed under: uncultured bacterium
Lineage: Bacteria
Description: partial 16S ribosomal RNA
Rfam family: Bacterial small subunit ribosomal RNA
Source: RNAcentral